CCUACGGGUGGCAGCAGUGGGGAAUAUUGGGCAAUGGACGCAAGUCUGACCCAGCAACGCCGCGUGAAGGAAGAAGGUACUUAGUAUUGUAAACUUCUUUUGUCGGGGAACAAAGGCGGAGACGCGUCUCCGGCUGAGUGUACCCGACGAAAAAGCAUCGGCUAACUCCGUGCCAGCAGCCGCGGUAAUACGGAGGAUGCGAGCGUUAUCCGGAUUUAUUGGGUUUAAAGGGUGCGCAGGCGGGAGAUCAAGUCAGCGGUAAAAUGUCGGGGCUCAACCCCGGCCGGCCGUUGAAACUGGUGUUCGAGAGUGGGAGAGAAGUAGGCGGAAUUCGUGGUGUAGCGGUGAAAUGCAUAGAUAUCACGAAGAACUCCGAUUGCGAAGGCAGCAUACCGGAUCCAGACUGACGCUGAGGCACGAAAGCGUGGGGAUCGAACAGGAUUAGAUACCCCGGUAGUC
Molecule: ribosomal RNA, 459 nt
Filed under: uncultured bacterium
Lineage: Bacteria
Description: partial 16S ribosomal RNA
Rfam family: Bacterial small subunit ribosomal RNA
Source: RNAcentral